AUACUAGAUACAGGGUCUUCAUAAGAUCUGUAUACUUUGUUUAUUCAUCAGGUAUUAUGAUGUGCACGUGAUAUUGUAUGGAUAUGACAUCUUGCUUUGACAGUUUACUUUCACAAUGUUUUCUUUUUCUUGCAGUGUAAUCUAUUUUUCCUCUGGGUUUGACGAUUGUUUCUCUGGAUGUGCAUGCUACAAGGUGGAUUCGUUGGCUUCCUGGCUCUCCUGCUCGACCUCAUCAAAGAAAGAGGAAGUGGGAGGGUCUGCCUAAGUGGCUUUAUACUGCUGUUGUUUUGUUCUGAUUGGUUGUUUUGAAAAGUUCUGUUAACUGUUUCUUUGCUGUUGG
Pelobates cultripes (western spadefoot toad) is the source of this 340-nucleotide non-coding RNA. Lineage: Eukaryota; Metazoa; Chordata; Amphibia; Anura; Pelobatidae. The record is from the annotation of a GenBank genome assembly.